This 253-nucleotide ribosomal RNA is filed under the name uncultured bacterium. RNAcentral describes it as "partial 16S ribosomal RNA". It matches the Rfam family "Bacterial small subunit ribosomal RNA", at positions 524 to 776 of the family's 1533-position model. The record is from RNAcentral.
UACGUAGGGUGCGAGCGUUGUCCGGAAUUAUUGGGCGUAAAGAGCGUGUAGGCGGCCCGGUAAGUCCGCUGUAAAAGUCAAAGGCUCAACCUUUGAAUGUCAGUGGAUACUGUCGGGCUAGAGUCCGGAAGAGGCGAGUGGAACUCCUGGUGUAGCGGUGGAAUGCGCAGAUAUCAGGAAGAACACCAACGGCGAAGGCAGCUCGCUAGGACGGUACUGACGCUGAGACGCGAAAGCGUGGGGAGCGAACAGG